RNAcentral lists this long non-coding RNA (1750 nucleotides) under Varroa destructor (honeybee mite). Its description in RNAcentral is "uncharacterized LOC111251659". Lineage: Eukaryota; Metazoa; Arthropoda; Arachnida; Mesostigmata; Varroidae. The record is from RNAcentral.
AUGAGUAUGCCAGUUGCUUAGGCCACUCAGAUCCACUGUCGCAGGGGGACUGGAUUCAACGAGGCUGCUUCAAUGUUUCGGCAGCUUUGGCCAAAGGUUAUGCUCGCAGCGAAUAUAGGGUGAGCCUAAAGACAUCAAGUAUUAUACAGGACGGCUUCAGUUGAGGGGGCGCACGGUGGCCACUGGCAAAAGCGAGGUUAUUCUAGUAUGUAUAACAUGACAAGCAGUUCUCACCCUUGAAGAAGCUAAAGGCGCACGCGACUACGACAAUAACUGAAAUAGGGGGAUUUUCAAGAAUAAUAGAGAUUACCGCUUACAGUUACUUGCCGACAAUGAUGUGUAGCCGAUUUUGUAAUGUAUCGUUGAAAACACCCAUGAUUUAGUUCAUAAACUGUAUGAACUGAAUACAGAACGGAUGUCGGUACGACCCCUUGUGGAGAUACGAUGAAUAAGAAAAUAUAGGUGCAUCUCUGCAUUACGAGGCACAACAAAAAACGGGCUGUACUGAGGACUGCUAAAAAAAAAUUGCCGUUUUUUACUUAAUCAUGCUCUGCCGCAAUCACGCUAUCGAUCUCCUGCGAGUCGAGACGCUUGGACAGUAUCGAGCUGCCGUUUUGUAGCUUCGUCGACUAUGACGUCUUAGUACGGUGCUGACUUUUGGAACUGAUCAAUGUGCAGUAGUGAAGAUGUGGAUUGGGUUAAUUGUAGCUUGUUUAUGUCACUUAAAAGGGAGGCAAGGACCUUUAACGGAACGCUAAGCGGUGAGCAUCUGAAGCUUGCAAGAACUGAACAUAGUACUAAAUGAGCAAAUGUAAAAUGUGGCCUGGAACACGUCCGAUUCAGCAUAAGACCAGCAUUUUAGUAGAUUACAAGCAACGCCCCCGUUCAGUGGAUCCGAUAGCAUUUGUAGAAAAUUCAACCCCUGUACAGGAUCGCGAUAAUGUACCACCCCGCCUAUUAACAGGGAUCCUACCCAUUCUAAAUUGAACUUUUUUGUUUACACCUGAAUCUACCAUAUGAUUAUUGCACGUACUUUAUGCACGCCAUAGUUUAUAUGUGCAUACAAUGCAAAUAGUAUUCUACCUUCGCCUACUAAUGCUCAGCACAUCUGUCAAGCGUCGCCUCGUGCAACUUGAAGCGGCCGGGCGGUUCGCUUUAGCAGUCUUUAUUACAGGAGCGGGUGCAAAUUAUGCUGUCCAAGUCGUAAAAUGUCUUAUUACAUCCACUGAGGUUCGUUUGUAAGAUUACCAUGUUUCACCGGACAAAAGCGUAGCUGGCACGGGCAACGCAACGGUGACCCCAGAUAGCCGUCUCACGAAUGAUACAACCGCGUUUGCUUCGAGCCGUAAUUAGGUUGGUACGACAAUCAAGCAGAAGCAAACUGGCAGGAACACCAGACCAUUGAAAUGUAAGGAACAUUUCUUAUGUGAAGCAGCUGGGUAUCAACUAUUCCUCUAUGGCGCGCUUGGCGCAUAGGUUGGCAUUUACGAAGGCUUUAAACAAACUACGUCCACAUCGAACCUUAAGCGGGGCAACGGGUAAAUGGUUUCGUACGCAUAUGCGAUUCACUGUAUCCGCCGAGAGAGUGAUGAGAGUAACGGUAGAAAAUAGUUAUGAUUUUGAAUGCGACAGUAACUUCGCGUACGGGAGAGUCUACAUGCGUGUUGACGACCCUAGUCGUUAAAAAUGUAUCGUCGGAGAUGAUGAUCUUACAUUUUCCUUCCAUGGUUUUUGGUUGACACUUUUAAAA